UGAAUAAAACGCCCUUAAGUAAAUCCCUACUCAUCUAACAUUCACAUAGUGGUGCAACUCCAUAAUUCCAUAUCCUCUACACCUUCUAGUCCACGAAGAGCCUUCCGCCGCUGCCAAGGAGCUUCCAUUCCACCAUUGCAACUGCUGUCAUCCUUCAUUGGUGGAUCAUCAUCUGAGAGCUCCACUCUUUAAGAAUGAGCA
This 201-nucleotide small RNA is filed under the name Vigna angularis var. angularis. Its description in RNAcentral is "Non-protein coding transcript". Lineage: Eukaryota; Viridiplantae; Streptophyta; Magnoliopsida; Fabales; Fabaceae. The record is from RNAcentral.